This 217-nucleotide ribosomal RNA is filed under the name Peronospora variabilis. RNAcentral describes it as "partial 28S ribosomal RNA". Lineage: Eukaryota; Oomycota; Peronosporomycetes; Peronosporales; Peronosporaceae. The record is from RNAcentral.
UUGGACGUUAUUCCUGUUGUAGUGGUAUGAACUGGUGAACCGUAGCUAAUGCGUGACUUGGCUUUUGAACCGGCUUUGCURWGCGAAGUAGAGUGACAGUUUCGGCUGUCGAGUGUCGACCCAUUUGGGAAAUUGUGCCGUGUGACUUCGGUUGCGUAGCAUCUCAAUUGGACCUGAUAUCAGGGCAAGAUUACCCGCUGAACUUAAGCAUAUUAUA